GCUUUAUAGAUAAUUUAAAUUUGGCUAAUUUAUAAAAAAUAAAAGUUAAAUCUAACUGUUCUAUUUUAUUGGGGUGAUGUGAGCAUAAUUAUUGUUAACUGCUUAAUAAAAAUACUGUAUACGGUAGAAUCUAAAGUGAAUGAUCCUUUAUAAAGAUUAAAAGACUAAGUU
This 171-nucleotide ribosomal RNA is filed under the name Etisus electra. Its description in RNAcentral is "partial 16S rRNA". Lineage: Eukaryota; Metazoa; Arthropoda; Malacostraca; Decapoda; Xanthidae. RNAcentral also lists the same sequence under 1 other name. The record is from RNAcentral.